Long non-coding RNA from Dreissena polymorpha, 1004 nucleotides. RefSeq lists it as uncharacterized. The transcript has 3 exons. NCBI's taxonomy places the organism in Eukaryota, Metazoa, Mollusca, Bivalvia, Myida, Dreissenidae. The record is from RefSeq and is a predicted model, not a curated record.
GGUGUUUGCCAGACUUGUUACUGACUGGCUUGAAAGUUUGAAAUGUAGUCUUAAAGCAAUGUUUGGACUUUUUUAUUUGAAGUUUUGAUAAUAUGAUGAAAUAACGUACUUUGAUGAACAUUCUGAAUAAUUUGGUAAACUGUAGAAAUCAACAUUCUGUAAAAGCUGAAAAGAGUGAUUCAGUGAGUUAUGAUGGACCUUUUUUGAAUGCCCUGAACUACUGAACAGGUUAAACUCUUGCCCCAAGGCAAAAUUUACGUUGAACAGAAGAUCCUAAGGAAUGUGUGCACAUCGGCUGCCAAAAAUGGAGCGAAAGGGAGAUGUUACCUCAUGAUGUAUGGACUUUUAGACAAGGUACCCUGCACAAGUUUGCCAGCUCAAGGGGAACAGGAGUGGGAAAACCGCACCCUGGUGAGGAGCAAAUACCUGUCCUUGGCCGACAAUCUGGAUUUGUUGAGAGAGAUCAUGCAGAAGCAGUACAAGGUCAAAUCUGUGCAAGUGCGAGAGAAGAUCCGCGGCCUACUGAAACCCAGCAAAUUAAAUAAACAGUUUUAAUAAAUGAUGGGAGUUCUAUACUAAAAACAGUACCCUGGUGCUCAUGUGUACAUAUUGUGACAUAAUAGCUUAAAAUAAUUCUGUGUCAAAACAUGUUUAAAGAAUUUCCAUUGAUCAUUGUUUCUUUUGUUUCUUGGCAUAUAGCUCGGUUGUUUUCGGAGAUAACCCGAGGUAUUGUCAUAGCUAGCACAUCGUGUCGUGUCGUCCGCUGUAGGAGUCCUGCUAAAACUUUAACAUUGGCUCUAAAAUCAAAGUGCUUCCAGGUCAAAGGUCAAGGUCACUGUGACCUCUAAAAAAAUAUAUUCUGACAAGCUUUCAUUUAUUCUCAAAACUGCACCCGCAGCCGAGUGUUGGCACCCGUUAUGCAGUGCUCUUGUUACAAGGUUUGUGACUGUACAUUGCUGGACUUAUUUGUAUUUUUAUGGCUUUGAAUACACUUUUUGAGGGUA